GGAUGAGUGGCGAACGGGUGAGUAAUACGUGAGUAACCUGCCCUUGACUCUGGGAUAAGCCUGGGAAACUGGGUCUAAUACUGGAUAUGACCUCCUGUCGCAUGGUGGGGGGUGGAAAGGGUUUGUACUGGUUGUGGAUGGGCUCACGGCCUAUCAGCUUGUUGGUGGGGUAAUGGCCUACCAAGGCGACGACGGGUAGCCGGCCUGAGAGGGUGACCGGCCACACUGGGACUGAGACACGGCCCAG
Molecule: ribosomal RNA, 247 nt
Filed under: uncultured bacterium
Lineage: Bacteria
Description: partial 16S ribosomal RNA
Rfam family: Bacterial small subunit ribosomal RNA
Source: RNAcentral